Molecule: non-coding RNA, 99 nt
Organism: Acanthosepion pharaonis
Lineage: Eukaryota; Metazoa; Mollusca; Cephalopoda; Sepiida; Sepiidae
Source: the annotation of a GenBank genome assembly
UUAAAACACACGUUCCAGUACGAACACCGAAGUUAAACAACAUCCAGCCUGGUUAGUACAUAGAUGGGUGAUCUGGUUGGGAAUAGCAGGUGCUGUAAG